ACUCCUACGGGAGGCAGCAGCUAAGAAUAUUCCGCAAUGGACGAAAGUCUGACGGAGCGACGCCGCGUGGAUGAAGAAGGCCGAAAGGUUGUAAAAUCCUUUUGCUGAGGAAGAAUAAGUGUGGGAGGGAAUGCCCGCACGAUGACAUGAAUCGGCGAAUAAGCCCCGGCCAACUACGUGCCAGCAGCCGCGGUAACACGUAGGGGGCGAGCGUUGUUCGGAAUUACUGGGCGUAAAGGGCAUGUAGGCGGUUAUGUAAGCCUGGCGUGAAAGUCCACAGCUUAACUGUGGGAUUGCGUUGGGAACUAGAUGACUAGAGUUACGGAGAGGGAGCUAGAAUUCCUGGUGUAGGGGUGGAAUCUGUAGAGAUCAGGAAGAAUACCGAUGGCGAAGGCAAGCUCCUGGCCGAUGACUGACGCUGAGGUGCGAAAGUGUGGGGAUCAAACAGGAUUAGAUACCCUGGUAGUC
RNAcentral lists this ribosomal RNA (468 nucleotides) under uncultured bacterium. Its description in RNAcentral is "bacterial SSU rRNA". It matches the Rfam family "Bacterial small subunit ribosomal RNA", at positions 335 to 795 of the family's 1533-position model. The record is from RNAcentral.